GAUGAACGCUGGCGGCGUGCCUAAUACAUGCAAGUCGAGCGAACAGACGAGGAGCUUGCUCCUCUGACGUUAGCGGCGGACGGGUGAGUAACACGUGGAUAACCUCCCUAUAAGACUGGGAUAACUUCGGGAAACCGGCGCUAAUACCGGAUAAUAUAUUGAACCGCGUGGUUCAAUAGUGAAAGACGGUUUUGCUGUCACUUCUAGAUGGAUCCGCGCCGCAUUAGCUAGUUGGUAAGGUAACGGGUUACCAAGGCAACGAUGCGUAGCCGACCUGAGAGGGUGAUAGGCGACACGGGAACGGAGCCAGCGACAAUACUACUACGGGAGGCAGCAGUAGGGAAUCUGCCGCAAUGGGCGAAAGCCUUACGGAGCAACGCCGCGUGAAUGACGAAGGUCUUCGGAGCGUAAAACUCUGUUACUAGGGAAGAACAAAUGUGUAAGGAACUAUGGACGGCUUGACGGUACCUAAUCAGAAAGCCACGGCUAACUACGUG
Molecule: ribosomal RNA, 497 nt
Filed under: uncultured bacterium
Lineage: Bacteria
Description: partial 16S ribosomal RNA
Rfam family: Bacterial small subunit ribosomal RNA
Source: RNAcentral